RNAcentral lists this ribosomal RNA (301 nucleotides) under uncultured bacterium. Its description in RNAcentral is "partial 16S ribosomal RNA". It matches the Rfam family "Bacterial small subunit ribosomal RNA", at positions 509 to 807 of the family's 1533-position model. The record is from RNAcentral.
CAGCCGCCGCGGGAACACAGAGGGUGCGAGCGUUUAUCGGAUUUACUGGGCGUAAAGCGUGCGUAGGCGGCUUUUUAAGUCGGAUGUGAAAUCCCUGAGCUUAACUUAGGAAUUGCAUUCGAUACUGGGAAGCUAGAGUAUGGGAGAGGAUGGUAGAAUUCCAGGUGUAGCGGUGAAAUGCGUAGAGAUCUGGAGGAAUACCGAUGGCGAAGGCAGCCAUCUGGCCUAAUACUGACGCUGAGGUACGAAAGCAUGGGGAGCAAACAGGAUUAGAUACCCCAGUAGUCCCUGUCUCUUAUAC